Non-coding RNA from Pelobates cultripes (western spadefoot toad), 235 nucleotides. NCBI's taxonomy places the organism in Eukaryota, Metazoa, Chordata, Amphibia, Anura, Pelobatidae. The record is from the annotation of a GenBank genome assembly.
GGUACACGAACGGCGGCCACCCACAACAUACAUUAAUUGGGCAUGGAUACAAUGUUGCAAAGUACCUAAUUGGAGACACACGACCACCUGCUGGGGGUGGUCUCUCAUUCGGUACUUUGCUUGUUCCACGAACAGUUCGGAGAUUCACUGUUCGUGGAUAACCAAGCUGAAUGCUAGCGGUAUUCGUGUGCUGUAACACACGAAUGCUUAAUACAUGGAUCUUGUAAUCGGGAAA